RNAcentral lists this long non-coding RNA (375 nucleotides) under Mytilus galloprovincialis (Mediterranean mussel). Lineage: Eukaryota; Metazoa; Mollusca; Bivalvia; Mytilida; Mytilidae. The record is from RNAcentral.
GUCGUUAAUUAUGAUUUUUUUUUUUUUUUUCAAGUAUAAUUACGGUUUGAAUCGCUUAUUUGCUACUUUUGUACCAAGUCAGAAAUAUGACUCUAUUCGUUUGGUGUGUUUGUGCUUUUGAUUUUGCCAUUUGAUAAGGGACUUUUCGUUAUGAAUUUUCCUCGGAGUUUUGUAUUUUUGGGAUUUUCUUUUUUUAUAUAUAUAAAUGAACUAGUUUCAAACUGAUAUAGUUAAGAAAACGUGAUUAAAAGUUUAUACCGGAAGUUUAAGAUUACUCAUGAAUACUUAAUUAUAUAGUCUUCCUAAAACUUUUUAUCACUGAUAUGUGUGUGUACCAUUUAGAUGUACAUGAUUGCUUUCCACGGCACCAAUUAG